AGCAACGCCGCGUGUGUGAUGAAGGCUUUCGGGUCGUAAAGCACUGUUGUAUGGGAAGAACAGCUAGAGUAGGGAAUGACUUUAGUUUGACGGUACCAUACCAGAAAGGGACGGCUAAAUACGUGCCAGCAGCCGCGGUAAUACGUAUGUCCCGAGCGUUAUCCGGAUUUAUUGGGCGUAAAGCGAGCGCAGACGGUUGAUUAAGUCUGAUGUGAAAGCCCGGAGCUCAACUCCGGAAAGGCAUUGGAAACUGGUCAACUUGAGUGCAGUAGAGGUAAGUGGAACUCCAUGUGUAGCGGUGGAAUGCGUAGAUAUAUGGAAGAACACCAGCGGCGAAGGCGGCUUACUGGACUGUAACUGACGUUGAGGCUCGAAAGUGUGGGUAGCAAACAGGAUUAGAUACCCUGGUAGUCCACACCGUAAACGAUGAACACUAGGGUUAGGGAGGUUUCCGCCUCUUAGGAACCGAAGGAAACGCAAUAAGUGUACCGCCUGGGGGAGUAGAACCGCAAGGUUGAAACUCAAAGGAAUUGACGGGGACCCGCACAAAGGGUGGAGCAUGUGGUUGAAUUCGAAGCAACGCGAAGAACCUUUCCAGGUCUUGACAUCCUAUGAAGCUUUUAGAGAUAGAAGUGUUCUCUUCGGAGACAAAGUGACAGGUGGUGCAUGGUCGUCGUCAGCUCGUGUCGUGAGAUGUUGGGUUAAGUCCCGCAACGAGCGCAACCCUUAUUGUUAGUUGCCAGCAUUCAGAUGGGCACUCUAGCGAGACUGCCGGUGACAAACCGGAGGAAGGCGGGGACGACGUCAGAUCAUCAUGCCCCUUAUGACCUGGGCUACACACGUGCUACAAUGGCGUAUACAACGAGUUGCCAACCUGUGAAGGUGAGCUAAUCUCUUAAAGUACGUCUCAGUUCGGACUGCAGUCUGCAACUCGACUGCACGAAGUCGGAAUCGCUAGUAAUCGCGGAUCAGCACGCCGCGGUGAAUACGUUCCCGGGUCUUGCACUCACCGCCCGUCA
RNAcentral lists this ribosomal RNA (1019 nucleotides) under uncultured bacterium. RNAcentral describes it as "bacterial SSU rRNA". It matches the Rfam family "Bacterial small subunit ribosomal RNA", at positions 390 to 1399 of the family's 1533-position model. The record is from RNAcentral.